AGGAAAAGAAACUAACUAGGAUUCCCUUAGUAACGGCGAGUGAACCGGGAUGAGCUCAAAUUUGAAAUCUGGCGUCUUUCAGGCGUCCGAGUUGUAAUCUAUAGAGGCGUUUUCCGCGCCGGACCGCGUCCAAGUCUCUUGGAAUAGAGUAUCAAAGAGGGUGACAAUCCCGUACUUGACGCGACAACCGGUGCUCUGUGAUACGUUCUCAAUGAGUCGAGUUGUUUGGGAAUGCAGCUCUAAAUGGGUGGUAAAUUCCAUCUAAGGCUAAAUAUUGGCGAGAGACCGAUAGCGAACAAGUACCGUGAGGGAAAGAUGAAAAGCACUUUGGAAAGAGAGUUAAACAGCACGUGAAAUUGUUAAAAGGGAAACGAUUGAAGUCAGUCGUGUGAGGGGUAUUCAGCCGUCUCUGGCGGUGUAUUUGCCUCUCACGGGUCAACAUCAGUUUGAUCCGGUAGAAAAAGGCGGGAGGAAGGUGGCACCCUCGGGUGUGUUAUAGCCUCCUGUCAUAUGUGCCGGACCAGACUGAGGAACGCAGCUUGCAGCAAUGCCGGGAUUCGUCCACGUACAAGCUA
This 575-nucleotide ribosomal RNA is filed under the name Vishniacozyma pseudocarnescens. RNAcentral describes it as "Vishniacozyma sp. HYZ-2023a partial large subunit ribosomal RNA". It matches the Rfam family "Eukaryotic large subunit ribosomal RNA", at positions 54 to 620 of the family's 3401-position model. The record is from RNAcentral. Lineage: Eukaryota; Fungi; Basidiomycota; Tremellomycetes; Tremellales; Bulleribasidiaceae.